GAUGAACGCUGGCGGCGUGCCUAAUACAUGCAAGUCGAGCGAACAGAUAAGGAGCUUGCUCCUUUGACGUUAGCGGCGGACGGGUGAGUAACACGUGGGUAACCUACCUAUAAGACUGGGAUAACUUCGGGAAACCGGAGCUAAUACCGGAUAACAUUUGGAACCGCAUGGUUCUAAAGUGAUAGAUGGUUUUGCUAUCACUUAUAGAUGGACCCGCGCCGUAUUAGCUAGUUGGUAAGGUAACGGCUUACCAAGGCGACGAUACGUAGCCGACCUGAGAGGGUGAUCGGCCACACUGGAACUGAGACACGGUCCAGACUCCUACGGGAGGCAGCAGUAGGGAAUAUUCGGCAAUAGGCGAAAGCCUGACGGAGCAACGCCGCGUGAGUGAUGAAGGGUUUCGGCUCGUAAAACUCUGUUAUUAGGGAAGAACAAAUGUGUAAGUAACUGUGCACGUCUUGACGGUACCUAAUCAGAAAGCCACGGCUAACUACGUG
RNAcentral lists this ribosomal RNA (497 nucleotides) under uncultured bacterium. Its description in RNAcentral is "partial 16S ribosomal RNA". It matches the Rfam family "Bacterial small subunit ribosomal RNA", at positions 28 to 507 of the family's 1533-position model. The record is from RNAcentral.